CCUACGGGUGGCUGCAGUGAGGAAUAUUGCGCAAUGGGGGCAACCCUGACGCAGCGACGCCGCGUGAGUGAGGAAGGCCUUCGGGUCGUAAAGCUCUGUCAAAGGGAAAGAAGUGUGCAAUGGUUAAUACCUGUUGCAUUUGACGGUACCCUUAAAGGAAGCACCGGCUAACUCCGUGCCAGCAGCCGCGGUAAUACGGAGGGUGCAAGCGUGCGUCGGAGUUACUGGGCGUAAAGGGCGCGUAGGAUGUGAAAGCCCACGGAUUAACUGUGGAAGUGCAUUUGAAACUGUCAGACUUGAGUACCAGAGGGGAAAGUGGAAUUCCCGGUGUAGAGGUGAAAUUCGUAGAUAUCGGGAGGAAUACCGGUGGCGAAGGCGACUUUCUGGCUGGAUACUGACGCUGAGGCGCGAAAGCGUGGGGAGCAAACAGGAUUAGAUACCCUGGUAGUC
This 450-nucleotide ribosomal RNA is filed under the name uncultured bacterium. RNAcentral describes it as "partial 16S ribosomal RNA". It matches the Rfam family "Bacterial small subunit ribosomal RNA", at positions 338 to 795 of the family's 1533-position model. The record is from RNAcentral.